UACCGCCUACGGGGCGCAGCAGGGAAUAUUGGGCAAUGGGCGCAAGCCUGACCCAGCAACGCCGCGUGAAGGAAGAAGGCUCUCGGGUUGUAAACUUCUUUUAUCAGGGACGAAGCAAGUGACGGUACCUGAUGAAUAAGCCACGGCUAACUACGUGCCAGCAGCCGCGGUAAUACGUAGGUGGCAAGCGUUAUCCGGAUUUACUGGGUGUAAAGGGCGUGUAGGCGGGAAAGCAAGUCAGAUGUGAAAACCAUGGGCUCAACCUGUGGCCUGCAUUUGAAACUGUUUUUCUUGAGUACUGGAGG
This 305-nucleotide ribosomal RNA is filed under the name uncultured bacterium. RNAcentral describes it as "bacterial SSU rRNA". It matches the Rfam family "Bacterial small subunit ribosomal RNA", at positions 333 to 655 of the family's 1533-position model. The record is from RNAcentral.